AUACGUAGGGUGCAAGCGUUAAUCGGAAUUACUGGGCGUAAAGCGUGCGCAGGCGGUUUUGUAAGACAGAGGUGAAAUCCCUGGGCUCAACCUGGGAACUGCCUUUGUGACUGCAGGGCUAGAGUACGGCAGAGGGGGAUGGAAUUCCGCGUGUAGCAGUGAAAUGCGUAGAUAUGCGGAGGAACACCGAUGGCGAAGGCAAUCCCCUGGGCCUGUAGUGAAGCUCAUGCACGAAAGCGUGGGGAGCAAACAGGAUUAGAUACCCGGGUACUCCACUCCCUAAACGAUGUCAACUGGUUGUUGGGUCUUCAUGGACUCAGUAACGAAGCUAACGCGUGAAGUUGACCGCCUGGGGAGUACGGCCGCAAGGUUGAAACUCAAAGGAAUUGACGGGG
Molecule: ribosomal RNA, 395 nt
Filed under: uncultured bacterium
Lineage: Bacteria
Description: partial 16S ribosomal RNA
Rfam family: Bacterial small subunit ribosomal RNA
Source: RNAcentral